Molecule: ribosomal RNA, 253 nt
Filed under: uncultured bacterium
Lineage: Bacteria
Description: partial 16S ribosomal RNA
Rfam family: Bacterial small subunit ribosomal RNA
Source: RNAcentral
UACGGAGGGUGCAAGCGUUAUCCGGAUUUACUGGGUUUAAAGGGUGCGUAGGCGGGCCAUUAAGUCAGUGGUGAAAGCUCUGAGCUUAACUCGGAAACUGCCAUUGAUACUAUUGGUCUUGAAUUCGGUCGAGGUUGGCGGAAUGUGUCGUGUAGCGGUGAAAUGCCUAGAUAUGACACAGAACACCGAUUGCGAAGGCAGCUAGCUAGACCGACAUUGACGCUGAGGCACGAAAGCGUGGGGAUCAAACAGG